This 571-nucleotide ribosomal RNA is filed under the name Chalaropsis ovoidea. Its description in RNAcentral is "LSU rRNA". It matches the Rfam family "Eukaryotic large subunit ribosomal RNA", at positions 44 to 637 of the family's 3401-position model. The record is from RNAcentral. Lineage: Eukaryota; Fungi; Ascomycota; Sordariomycetes; Microascales; Ceratocystidaceae.
CAAUAAGCGGAGGAAAAGAAACCAACAGGGAUUGCCCUAGUAACGGCGAGCGAAGCGGCAACAGCUCAAAUUUGAAAUCUGGCUACUUUGUAGUCCGAGUUGUAAUUUGUAGAGGAUGCUUUUGGUGAGGUGCCUUCCGAGUUCCCUGGAACGGGACGCCAGAGAGGGUGAGAGCCCCGUACGGUUGGAUACCAAACCUUUGUAUAGCUCCUUCAACGAGUCGAGUAGUUUGGGAAUGCUGCUCUAAAUGGGAGGUAUAUCUCUUCUAAAGCUAAAUAUAGGCUAGAGACCGAUAGCGCACAAGUAGAGUGAUCGAAAGAUGAAAAGCACUUUGAAAAGAGAGUUAAACAGCACGUGAAAUUGUUGAAAGGGAAGCGCCUAUGACCAGACUUGUUUCUUUCAGUUUUGUUAGUUCUCGGACUGAUUUACUCUGUUAGUACAGGCCAGCAUCAGUUUGUUGUCGGGGAGAAAGGCUUAGGGAAUGUGGCUCCUUCGGGAGUGUUAUAGCCCUUUGCAUAAUACCCUUCGGCAGACUGAGGACCGCGCUUCGGCAAGGAUGCUGGCGUAAUGG